Molecule: ribosomal RNA, 479 nt
Filed under: uncultured bacterium
Lineage: Bacteria
Description: bacterial SSU rRNA
Rfam family: Bacterial small subunit ribosomal RNA
Source: RNAcentral
AAGUCGAGCGGUAACAGGGUUCACGUUCCUUGACACUCUACGACAUGGUCUAGAGGCAGAAUCGAGGGAACAGUGAAACUGCUGACGAGCGGCGGACGGACUGAGUAACGCGUGGGAAGGACCCCAAACUGAGGGAUAACGCACCGAAAGGUGUGCUAAUACCGCAUGUGAUCUUCGGAUUAAAGGAUUUAUCCGGUUUGGGACUGGCCUGCGUACGAUUAGAUAGUUGGUAGGGUAAUGGCCUACCAAGUCGACGAUCGUUAGAUGGUUUGAGAAGAUGAUCAUCCAGACUGGGACUGAGACACGGCCCAGACUCCUACGGGAGGCAGCAGUAGGGAAUCUUUCACAAUGGGCGAAAGCCUGAUUGGAGCAACGCCGCGUGCAGGAUGACGGCCUUCGGGUUGUAAACUGCUUUUAUAAGCGAGAAAUAUGAUGGUAACUUAUGAAUAAGGACCGGCUAACUACGUGCCAGCCGCCGC